This 1020-nucleotide long non-coding RNA is filed under the name Phasianus colchicus (ring-necked pheasant). RNAcentral describes it as "lncRNA (ENSPCLG00000018780.1)". The record is from RNAcentral. Lineage: Eukaryota; Metazoa; Chordata; Aves; Galliformes; Phasianidae.
AUGGUACCACCCCACAGCACUGCCCUAUGGAAUGACCCCAUAGAACGGCCCUGUGGCCCGGCCCUAUAUGACAGACUGUGGCCCUACAGCCAUGCCAUGGGGCGGAGCCAUGGGGCAGCGCUAUGGGGCAGGGCUAUGGGGCAGAGCCAUAGGGACAGUGCAAUGGGGCAGGGCUAUGGGGCAGCGCUAUGGGGAAGAGCCAUAGCAGUGAUGCCAUGGGGCAGCGCUAUGGGGCAGUGCUAUGGGGCAGAGGCAGAAUGGAGCAAUUCUAUGGGGCAGUUCUACGGGGCAGCCCUAUGGGGCAGCGCUAUGGGGAAGAGCUGUGGGGCAGCUCUAUGGGGCAGCUGUAUGGGGCAGUUUUAUGGGGCAACUCUAUGGGGUAGCCCUAUGGGGCAGCUGUAUGGGGCAGCUCUAUGGAGCUGUUCUAUGGGGCAGCCCUAUGGGGCAAUCCUAUGGGGCAGUCCUAUGGGGCAGAGGCAGAAUGGGGCGGUUCUAUGGGGCAGCUCUAUGGGGCAGCUCUAUGGGGCAGCCCUAUGGGGCGGCUCUAUGGGGUGGCUCUAUGGGGCAGUUCGAUGGGGCAGUUCUAUGGGGCGGCUGUAUGGGGCGGCUCUAUGGGGCAGAGGCAGAAUGUGGGCAGUGCUAUGGGGCAGCCCUAUGGGGCAGCUCUAUGGAGCAGUUCUAUGGGGCAGCCCUAUGGGGCGGCUGUAUGGGGUGGCUCUAUGGGGCAGCCCUAUGGGGCAGCUCUAUGGGGUGGUUCUUUGGGGCAGUUCUAUGGGGCAGUUCUAUGAGGCAGCUCUAUGGGGCAGCCCUAUGGAGUGGCGCUAUGGGGCAGCCCUAUGGGGCGGCUCUAUGGGGCAGCCCUAUGGGGCAGCUCUAUGGGACAGAGGCAGAAUGGGGCGGUUCCAUGGGGCAGCUCCAUGGGGCAGCCCUACGGGGCGGUGCUAUGGGGCAGCUCUAUGGGGCAGCCCUAUGGGGCAGAGGCAGAGGGGCGGCGCGGCGCCCCACACUCACCAGGCGUAA